GGGGAGCAUCGCGGCGGCUCCGAGCGGCCCUGUGUCCCCGCCAAACCGCUCCCCCGCGGCCGGACAGUCCUCGGCGGCAGGGCUCGUCCGGCUCCCGGCCCUCGCGCACCUGAGUUCCGCUGGUGGCGCUGGGCUCUCAGGACGUCUAGGAGACUUCCCAUGUGAUAAAGACGGUACAACUAGCAGGACACAUGGAAAAGAUAAAGCUGCCCUCCGAUCGCCUUUCAGGCACGCCAACACACACACAUCAGUUUGAUCAAAGAUUUCAAAAUGUAAAGGGACGCUCCUCCCUUUAAAAAAAGAAAAGGUGAGCAGAUGGGAGAAUUUUUAAAUGCUUGAAGAAGGCCUUUCUACACUGUGGACAAAAAGGGGCCACAUGCUAACCUGACUAACGCAGGGAAGGACUGCCUGGCAAACUAAACUCAGGCACCUAAAAGGCUGUCUGAAAUUAAAACCUUUUCAAUUAAAAAGCAGUUUAUAGCCCUAGCUUGGCUCAGUGGAUGGAGCGUCAGCCUGCGGACUGAAGGGUCCCGGGUUCGAUUCUGGCGAGGGGCACAUGGCUGGGUUGAGGGCUCGGUCCCCAGUGGGGGGUGUGCGGGAGACGGCCAAUCGGUGAUUCUCUCUCAUCAUUGAUGUUUCUAUCUCUGUCUCCUCCCUUCCUCUCUGAAAUCAAUAAAGAAAUAUAUUUAAAAAAAUAAAAAGCAAUUUAUAGUAGAUAGUAGUGUCCUGGGCCAGUAUCUUCCCUGACAAAGACCAACUCUGAUAUUAACCGAGCCUAUUGUCUUGAUCAUUUCCAUAAAUAAUUGAGAGUAAUAAGAUUAAUGCACAUGCUUUGGAGAAAAAUUUGAAUAUAUCUGUCAGUGUUUUCAAUGCACAUGCCCUUUGACUAUCAAAGAAACACCGGGACAUCAUCAAAUAGAUACACGUACAUAAGUGCAAAAAUAUGAGCCCACAUAUUCCUUGCAGCAUGGCUUGUAAUGAUGACAAACUAGACACAGUCUGAAUGUUGGUCAAUAGAGGAGUGAUUAAAUAAGUUAUGAUACAUGUGAUGGUAGGAAGAAUAAUGACUCCCGAAAAAUGACCACAUCCUAAUCUCUGAAACCUGAAAGCGAGUUACCUUAUGUAGCAAAAGGAACUUUGCAGAUGUGAUUAAAUUAAAGAUCUUGAAAUGGGAAGAUUAUUUUAGAUUAUGCAAGUGUGCCAAACGUAACUACAUGUACAAGAGUCUAUAUAAGGGAGACAGGAGACCAGAGGAAAAGGCAAUUAUGAUACCUAAAGCGGAGAUUGGAGUGAUUUGGCACCACAAGCCAAGGAAUUCAUACAAGCUCUAGAACAGGGGUCCUCAAACUUUUUAAACAAGGGGUCAGUUCACUGUCCCUCAGACCGUUGGAGGGCCAGACUAUAGUUUUAAAAAAAAAAACGAUGAACAAAUUCCUAUGCACACUGCACAUAUCUUAUUUUGAAGUAAAAAAACAAAAUGGGAACAAAUACAAUAUUUGUAUUUGCCUGUGGCCCGCGGGCCGUAGUUUGAGGACCCCUGCUCUAGAAGCUAGAAAAGGCCACCAAUGGAUCUUCUGAUCCUUCAGAAGAAACACAGCCCUGCCUACCCAUUUCAAAUGUCUGUAAUAUAAUAACUGUGUUGCUUUAAGUCACUACAUUUGUGAUAAUUUGUUACCGCAGCAAUAGCAAACUAACACCUGUAUCAGAAGACUAUACAACUAUUAAAAAGAAUGAAUUAGAAUAUGUGCACAUAUAGAAAGAUAAUCCAAUAUUUGUUUUUGUCCCAAAGGAGCUGACAACACAACUGAAGAGAGAAAGCAUGCACAUGGGGAAGGGCAGAAUGUGAUGACUGCUAAGAAAGUACUGUGGACAGCUAGGGUGAUCUUAGGAAUCUUAUUACUGGCCUCUUGAACUUUACCAUCUAUGAGCAUAAUCUGAGGACAUUAGACUCUGCAAGUUGGUCUAUUAACUACCAACAGCAAUAACAAUACCAAUAUAGCAUUUGUA
Molecule: long non-coding RNA, 2007 nt
Organism: Myotis daubentonii (Daubenton's bat)
Lineage: Eukaryota; Metazoa; Chordata; Mammalia; Chiroptera; Vespertilionidae
Source: RefSeq, a predicted model, not a curated record